Cheilinus undulatus (humphead wrasse) is the source of this 1178-nucleotide long non-coding RNA. RefSeq lists it as uncharacterized. The record is from RefSeq and is a predicted model, not a curated record. NCBI's taxonomy places the organism in Eukaryota, Metazoa, Chordata, Actinopteri, Labriformes, Labridae. The transcript is spliced from 6 exons.
CCUGAAGACCCCAUUUUCAAACCUCCAGCGCUACUGCAUGCUUCAAGAUCACUCAAGCUUCUCAUGAAGACUGGAAACAAAAGGGAAAAGUGGGGAAAGAUCCAGCUUUUACUUAUGUGGCUCUCCAGGAAAAGAUAAAGGCUGCAGAGUAACUGGAGUGCAAGAUUUUAGAACAUCGAUAUCAGCCUGUUCUGCAGCAAAUUGAGCAGAUCUGCAAAGUUCUACUGGAGCAGAGAAGACCACUGACCCUCAGGAGAGCAGGUCAGUGAACAUCACACUCCUGUGUCCCAUUUUCCUUUGUAUCGUCUGUUUGCUGGAGGCUCAACCUGUCAUUAUAUCAGGUGAAUUAAACAGCUGACGAGGGCAGAGACUGACGGAGGUUGGAGCAGAGAGAGGCAUGCAGUGUGGGAAACAAAGGCACGUUUGAUUCAGGCACCUGAAUCUUCCUUCAGGCCCUGAGGCGGCAGAGAGUCAGGUCUGUAGAUCUGGCAGCAGAUGGAGGAGCUGAUCAGAGAUUUCUCUGAGCUGAAGAAACUCGAAGAUAAGACACAGCGCCAUCUAGUGGUCAGAUUUAGUAAUUCAUAAGAUGAAGGAGUAAAGUUCAACAAAGGGGGAAAGUUACUCAUCACAGUUUCUCUACUCAUUUAUUAAGUGCAAUUUUAAUUUGCUUUAAUGUUUUUUUGUGUGUUAUUUUUGCAUCUUCAUUUUAACAGAAAAUGUUGGUGUUUAUUUACUCUCAUGCAUUUAUCAGACACAAUUAUUAAAAUAUUCCAGUGGUAAGAUUGCAUGCAAAAGAAGCAUUCAGCUAAUAAAAAUGUCCAGGGUCUUGACAAUAAAACCAAACAGCAGUGUUUAAAUGUGCUGUACAUUCAUAUCAUACAGAAAUAAAAAUCAUACCAAAUAUUACAGUUUCAAAAGAUAAACAUUUGAUAGUUGUGUGAUGACUAUUUGUCAGAACAACGAAACAACCUGAACAAACUUAAUGAACUCAACAAUGGUUGACAAGGCAUUCUAUCAGUCACAUACAUUACAGGCCAGUCAGAGUGAUGAAGCAUAUGCUGUAGUGGGUACGUGCAGCUCAACGAUGAAGUCACCACAGCAAGUGUUACAGCUGCUAACUAUUACUGGAGCCAGUUGGUUAAACAAACUCAGGCCAAUUAGCACAAACAUCUUAUCUG